This 1909-nucleotide long non-coding RNA is filed under the name Mus musculus (house mouse). Its description in RNAcentral is "long non-coding RNA chr11:21597566-21599475". Lineage: Eukaryota; Metazoa; Chordata; Mammalia; Rodentia; Muridae. The record is from RNAcentral.
UUUGUUUUGUCAUGGAAUAUUUUGGGUUCUCAGUCCAUGAUAAUUGAGAGUUUUGCUGGGUAUAGUAGUAGCCUGUGUCAGCAUUUGUGUUCUCUUAGGGUCUGUAUGACAUCUGUCUAGGGUCUUCUGGCUUUUUAUUGUCUCUGUUGAGAAGUCUAGUAUAAUUCUGAUAGUUCUGCCUUUAUAUGUAUGCAUUUCCCUUAUCACUUUUAAUAUUCUUUCUUUGUUUUGUGAAUUUAGCUUUUUGAUUAUUAUGUUUGACAGGAUUGUCUUUUCUAGUCCAAUCUAGUUGGUGUUCUGUAGGCUUCUUGUAUAUUUAUGGGCCAUCCCUUUCUUUAGGUUGGAGAAUUUUCUUCUAUGAUUUUGUUGAAGGUGUUUUCUGGUUCUUUGAGCUAUGAAUCUUCACUCUGUUCCAUUCCUAUUAUGCUUAGGUUUGGUCUUUUCAUUGUGUUCUGGAUUUCCUGGAUGUUUUUAGGAGCUUUUUAUGCUUUAUAUUUUCUUUGACCAUUGUGUGAAUAUCUUCUAUGGCUUCUUCUAUGCCUGAGGUUCUCUCUUCUAUCUCUUGUAUUCUGUUGUUGAUGUUUGCAUCUGUAGUUCUUGAUCUCAUUUCUAGGUUUUCCAUUUCCAGAGUUGCCUCCAUUUGUGAUUUCUUUAUUGUUCUACUUCCACUUUUAGGUCUUAGUCAGCUUUGUUCAAUUCCUUCACCUGUUUGAUUGUGUUUCUUUAAGGGACUUAUGUGUUUCCUCUUUAAGGGCUUCUACCUGAUUGCCUAUGUUUUCCUAUAUUUCCUUAAAUGAGGUUUUAAAAAAUAUCCUCCUUAAGUAUCUCUCUUAUCUUCAUGAGAUGGGAUUUUAUGUCAGCAUCAUGCUUUUUAGAGUGUGUUGGAGUAGUCAGGGUUUGAUGUGGUGGGAGAAUUGGGUUCUGUUGCUUAUGUUCUUAUGCUUACCUCUUACCAUCUGGUUAUCUCUGGUGUUAACCAGCCUGGUUGUCUCUGUCUGGAGCCUGUCUCCUGAGUCCCUGGUUGUAGCAGAUCUCCUGGGAGACCUGUUGCCCUUGUUGCAGCAAUCUUCUGGGAGUCCUGCACACUGUGGUGUUGUUAGAGGGGUAGACAGGCUGAUCUGCCCUUGCAGAGGUGCAGACUUAAAGGGGUUCUUUGGAGAUCUUAAGAAUAGAAUUAGAAAUACCAGUCUUUGAGUCACUGAAGCAGCAGUGGUCCAUAGUUGUGCGUCUAUGUAUGUGUAUGUGCAUCUAAUGUUUCUGAUCUCCGAUACUCUGAGACUUGGCAGCAAUGGCAGUUCAGUAGUAUUGAAUGUACUAGUGCCAAGAUUUGUUUCUAAUAUGAUUGCUCAUUAUGAAGAGAGUAAGGACUCUCCUUAAAGAAAUGGUAUUCUGUGCCAAGAUAAAGAAGUGUUGAAAGAAUGAAAAAAGUAAACUGUUCAAAUUCCAUGGGAUUCAGGGAAUCCCACUGGCCAAAUUGUUGGUAUUUUCAAUGCCAAAAUAAAUAAUAAAUGUAACUCAUUGAAUAAAUUGAAAUUCAUGAGUACAGACUGAUAUAAAUAUAAGAACAAGAAUAAAGAAAGAAAGCUGGACAGAAAGUAAGAAUAUGGAAGACUUAGUUGUUGAGUAUGAUUUGAACUGUGCAGACCUGGCCCAAGAGAUUUUAGUGGAGAAGAAUUUCAGUAUGUGGUUAGAGACAGUUUUUGUGGUAUUUUGGUGAAGAAUGUGGCUACUUUUUGCCCUUGUCCAAAGAGUCUACCUGAGGCUAAAGUAACGAUAAAUAGUAAAAGAUAAAUAGAUAAAGUAUAAAUAAUACUAAUUGCAUUGAGAACGGAAGUCUCAAAAAAGCCCAACAGAGACUUUGUUCUCUGGUUUAGUCUUAUGAAGAGUGUUUUAAUGAAAAGGAGAAAGC